CUGAGGGCAGAGCUGUUUGCCUGGCAGAGGAGGAGCAAACAGCCAUGUUGUAAAUGGCCUCUGAGGAGGACUGGCCUCUAGGAGUUGAGGACCUCAAGCCUACAUCUGCAAGGAAUUGAACGAUGCCAAGAACCCGAACAAACUCUGAAGAUGAGAAUGCGGCCCUGUGCCAAGACUGGCUGCCUUCCCCUGUUUCUGUACCACACUGGUUCCUGAAGCUAUUUGAGUUUGAGACUGCUGGGGUAACCUGACCCACUUCAAGGAUCUGAAAGUAUUUUACAGUUGGUUGAAUCCAUGGAUGUGGAACCCAUGGAUGUGAAGGACUGACUGUACUUUGCACUAGUGGUUCUCAAAGUGUGGGCCCUGGACCAGUGGCAGCAGCAUCACCUGGGAACUUGUGAGAAAUGCACUUUUCAGCUCCUGUUUCAGAUGGACCUAUCAGAAUCUCUGCAGGAACAUUUUGAAGUCCCCUCAUAUACAAUGAAAUGAUAGAUUUGUCAACACAGAUAAAUCUCAAAAACACAAUAAGUGAAGAAAGUAAGUUGCAGAUGGAAAUAAUAUGUGAUGGUCAAACAAUCUAGAUGUUUCCGUGAAGGUGUUUUUGGAUGAGACUAACAUUGACAUUGGUGGACUUUGAGUAAAGCAGGUUGCCUGCGUGCCAUAAUGUGGGUAUUCUCAUCCAAUCAGUUGCGGGAUUUAACAGAGCAAAGACUGAGGUCCCCUGAGAAAAUAGGAUUCCACCAGCAGACAGCCUUCAGCCUUGAACUGCAGUGUCACCUCUUCACUGGGCCUCCCAACCUGCUGACACUUUGAUCUUGGACUUCUAGCCUCCAUAACUGUGUGAGCCAAUUCCCUAAAAUAAAUCUCUCUCUGUACACAUUCUAUGGUUAUGUU
RNAcentral lists this long non-coding RNA (894 nucleotides) under Homo sapiens (human). RNAcentral's name for it is "BFSP2 antisense RNA 1". Lineage: Eukaryota; Metazoa; Chordata; Mammalia; Primates; Hominidae. The record is from RNAcentral.